RNAcentral lists this non-coding RNA (75 nucleotides) under Chromera velia. Lineage: Eukaryota; Chromeraceae. The record is from RNAcentral.
UGUUCUUCACUGUUCUUGUUUGAAUCUGUCUCCAUGCUGCGGAAAGGUCUGGACGUCCUCGCAGCCUCGUCGGCU